This is a non-coding RNA of Termitomyces sp. Mi166#008, 93 nucleotides long. NCBI's taxonomy places the organism in Eukaryota, Fungi, Basidiomycota, Agaricomycetes, Agaricales, Lyophyllaceae. The record is from the annotation of a GenBank genome assembly.
GGCCUGAUGGUCUAGUAGUAUGAUUCCUUGUUAGGGUCUCGAUGAGAGAUUGAAAUUUCGAGGAGGUCCCGGGUUCAAUUCCCGGUCAGGCCC